Molecule: transfer-messenger RNA, 352 nt
Filed under: Deltaproteobacteria bacterium RIFOXYD12_FULL_50_9
Lineage: Bacteria; Deltaproteobacteria
Also listed under: 1 other name
Rfam family: transfer-messenger RNA
About the family: Bacterial tmRNA, also known as 10Sa RNA or SsrA, is named for its dual tRNA and mRNA-like properties. Its role is to liberate the mRNA from a stalled ribosome. To accomplish this part of the tmRNA is used as a reading frame that ends in a translation stop signal.
Source: RNAcentral
GGGGGCGAAACGGCUUCGACGGGGAUAUGUAAGCUCAAGCUGCAUGCCGAGGUUUCUAUCUGUCUCGUUAACUAGGUAGAGAAAAUAUAGUCGCAGACGACUAUGCAUACGCUGUAGCCGCAUAGGCUACCGUUCUGCCGGCCCACUCCCGCGGGGCUGGUAAGAACGUCGCUAGCGGGAUAGCUGCCGGAACGUACCCACGGUUCCUUAAGCGAAAUUUACAGAGGGAUAGCGCUGAGAUCUCUUGUCCUGGUGGGGUCAAGGCGCGAUAAGCAAUGAUUCAGGAAUACGCAUGUAGACGUUUGAAGGGGAGUAUUUUCGGACCCGGGUUCAACUCCCGGCGCCUCCACCA